ACUCAAAUGAAUAGACGGGGGCCCGCACAAGCGGUGGAGCAUGUGGCUUAAUUCGAUGCAACGCGAAGAACCUUACCAGGGCUUGACAUGGAGCUGCAAGCUCGUGAAAGCGAGUCGCUUUCGAAGGUGCUUCACAGGUGGUGCAUGGCUGUCGUCAGCUCGUGUUGUGAAAUGUUGGGUUAAGUCCCGCAACGAGCGCAACCCUCAUGUUUUGUUGCCAGCGGGUAAAGCCGGGAACUCGAAACAAACUGCCUCUGUAAAGAGGAGGAAGGUGGGGAUGACGUCAAGUCAUCAUGCCCCUUACGCCCUGGGCUGCACACAUGCUACAAUGGCCGGUACAAAGGGUUGCUAACCCGCGAGGGUAUGCUAAUCUCAAAAAGCCGGUCUCAGUUCGGAUAGGAGGCUGCAACUCGCCUCCUUGAAGCCGGAAUCGCUAGUAACCGCCGGUCAGCAAUACGGCGGUGAAUACGUUCCCGGGCCUUGCACACACCGCCCGU
RNAcentral lists this ribosomal RNA (497 nucleotides) under uncultured bacterium. RNAcentral's name for it is "partial 16S ribosomal RNA". It matches the Rfam family "Bacterial small subunit ribosomal RNA", at positions 899 to 1397 of the family's 1533-position model. The record is from RNAcentral.